CGGAUGUAGCCAAUUUCAUCAAGGCAGUGG
RNAcentral lists this transfer RNA (30 nucleotides) under Artemisia araratica. RNAcentral describes it as "partial tRNA-His". Lineage: Eukaryota; Viridiplantae; Streptophyta; Magnoliopsida; Asterales; Asteraceae. The record is from RNAcentral.